ACGCACGCUGGCGGCGUGCUUAACACAUGCCAGUCGAACGGAAAGGCCCUGCUUUUGUGGGGUGCUCGAGUGGCGAACGGGUGAGUAGCACGUGAGUAACCUGCCCUUGACUUUGGGAUAACUUCAGGAAACUGGGGCUAAUACCGGAUAGGAGCUCCUGCUGCAUGGUGGGGGUUGGAAAGUUUCGGCGGUUGGGGAUGGACUCGCGGCUUAUCAGCUUGUUGGUGGGGUAGUGGCUUACCAAGGCUUUGACGGGUAGCCGGCCUGAGAGGGUGACCGGCCACAUUGGGACUGAGAUACGGCCCAGACUCCUACGGGAGGCAGCAGUGGGGAAUAUUGCACAAUGGGCGGAAGCCUGAUGCAGCAACGCCGCGUGCGGGAUGACGGCCUUCGGGUUGUAAACCGCUUUCGCCUGUGACGAAGCGUGAGUGACGGUAAUGGGUAAAGAAGCACCGGCUAACUACGUG
This 467-nucleotide ribosomal RNA is filed under the name uncultured bacterium. RNAcentral describes it as "partial 16S ribosomal RNA". It matches the Rfam family "Bacterial small subunit ribosomal RNA", at positions 29 to 507 of the family's 1533-position model. The record is from RNAcentral.